This 85-nucleotide transfer RNA is filed under the name Burkholderiales bacterium. RNAcentral's name for it is "tRNA-Leu". It matches the Rfam family "tRNA". From Rfam's summary of the family: Transfer RNA (tRNA) molecules are approximately 80 nucleotides in length. Their secondary structure includes four short double-helical elements and three loops (D, anti-codon, and T loops). Lineage: Bacteria; Pseudomonadati; Pseudomonadota; Betaproteobacteria; Burkholderiales. RNAcentral also lists the same sequence under 2 other names. The record is from RNAcentral.
GCCCGGGUGGCGAAACUGGUAAACGCAGCGGGCUUAAAACCCGCAGCCGCGAGGCUUGCCGGUUCGACUCCGGCCCCGGGCACCA